Small nuclear RNA from Dermacentor andersoni, 189 nucleotides. RefSeq annotates it as U2 spliceosomal RNA. The record is from RefSeq and is a predicted model, not a curated record. Lineage: Eukaryota; Metazoa; Arthropoda; Arachnida; Ixodida; Ixodidae.
AUCGUAGACAUGGCAGGCGCGGGUCAAAGUGUAGUAUCUGUACUUAUCAGCCUAAUGUCUGAUACGGGUUGUAUUUGGUCCGAAGCUAUUAAACUUAUUUUUACAAGAUGGCAGAGUGCUUAACGCCUGCUUCACCUCCGUUGAGGGUCGGUCCGGUAUUGCACUAUCUUCGGGAUUGGCCCACGUAUG